GGUGAGAGGAAUGAAAUGCCUGGGACUAGAUGUGCUGCUUUUCUGGAAAGAUGUAGGCUAGACAAUGUCAACUUACCAAGCUUAUUUCUAUCUCAGAGUCCUCAUGUACCUGUUAUUCCAUAUCCACGUUGAUUUUCCCUUUUCCCAUUAUCCUAGGAAACAAGGCAUCUCCUCUCCCUCUCACCUGAAUAUUACUCUUCUGUUAUCCCCACUCUCUUUUAUAGUAUAAUAUCUACAUUUUUUAUUUUAAUUGUGGUUUUAAAAAGCCACAUAAUAUGAAAUUUACUCCCUUAAGAAAAUUUUAGAUGUAUGAUACAAUAUAGCUAUAUGUACACGGUAGUCCACAGAUCUCUAGAACUUUUUUAGUACAUUUGAUCUUUGCCUCUCUGUUUCUUCUCCCCAGAGGUAAAAACAGGUGUUCAUCUACUGUAUCUUAGCUCUGGAGGGACUCAUAACCCAGUAUUUGGAAUCCUAGACCAGAAUUCUGAUAUUCCAGUGCAUGCCAGAGAUACUCUUGCUGGUCUUUGUGCUGGUCUUUGGGCUGGUCUUUGGAUGGUCUUUGGGCUGGUCUUUGGAUGGUCUUUGUGCUGGUCUUUGUGCUGAUCUUUGGGCUGGUCUUUGGGUGGUCUUUGGACUGGUCUUCGGGUGGUCUUUGUGCUGGUCUUUGGGCUGGUCUUUGGGUGGUCUUUGUGCUGGUCUUUGGGUGGUCUUUGUGCUGGUCUUUGGGCUGGUCUUUGGGUGGUCUUUGUGCUGGUCUUUGGGUGGUCUUUGGACUGGUCUUUGGGUGGUCUUUGUGCUGGUCUUUGGGUGGUCUUUGUGCUGGUCUUUGGGUGGUCUUUGGGCUGGUCUUUGGGCUGGUCUUUGUGCUGGUCUUUGGGUGGUCUUUGGGUGGUCUUUGGGCUGGUCUUUGGGUGGUCUUUGGACGGUCUUCCUGAAUAACUGAUAGUAAGGUGCUCCUGCAGCGUAGCUCAGACUCUUUCCUCACAAGCUCUGUGGGUUCUUGUUAACAUGUAAUAAGUUUUUUGUUGUUGUUUUUCGUUUGUUUGUUUUGGUUUUGGUUUUUUAAUUCCAAGUAAGCUAGGCAGUUAAUUCACAGUUAACAAUGAAUGGCCUGGAAAAUUUCAUUACCCAAGCCUUACAUUAUCAACACAUCUGCUUAUGAAAAAAAUACUUAAAAGAGUGGCCUAAAUAUGCAAAUUAUUAUUUCCAGGAAGAAGGAAACCACUGACAGGCAACCUGGGAGGGAGUGAGUGGGUGUACUGAGGCCAUGAAAGGCACCGACAUUCACACAUAAUAAGGUCAUAAAAGGGAAUUCACAUCUAUCGAGUACGUACAUGGGCCAGGUAUAAUUUGGUUCUUAAGACGCACCAGCUUUGGAGUCCGUCAGAACUGGAUUUGAAUCCCAGUUCCAUCAUUCAUCCUUAUGUGAUUGUGGAUGUGUUUUUAACCCCUCUGAUCUUCAGUUUUCUCAUCUAUAAAAGAUGCCUUUUUCAAGUUGUUAUGAGGCUUAAAUAAGGUAAUUGUGUACAAAUCUGGGCAAAAUGCCUGUAAUUUUGUGUCUAAUACAUGGAAGAGUAUCAUCCUUCUCUCCUUUAAUUUUUAGAGCAAACAAAGUCUGUGGUAAUCAUUUUUUAUGGUUAAAUUAAGGAUCAGAAAGAUUAAAUCACUGUAGCCACAUAGCAACUCACAGUACACAUUCACAUGAUAAUUGCUAGUUGCAAGUAGCAAUGAUAAUCACAUAAUCUCACAUUAUGUAGUGGUUUUACUUUACAUAAGCCUCCUUAUUUGUUGGAACCAUAGAUUCUAAGUUGCUCUAUCAAAGUGAUCAUUAGGAAUAUGUGAUGUUCAGCUGGGCAUGGUGGCUCACACCUAUAAUCCCAGCACUUUCGGAGGCUGAGGUGGGCAGAUCACUUGAAGUCGGGAGUUCGAGACCAGUCUGACUAACAUGGAGAAACCCCAUCUCUACUAAAAAUACAAAAUUAGCCUGGCAUGGUGGUGCAUGCCUGUAAUCCCAGCUACUCGGGAGACUGAGGCAGGA
This 2038-nucleotide long non-coding RNA is filed under the name Macaca fascicularis (crab-eating macaque). RNAcentral describes it as "lncRNA (ENSMFAG00000062321.1)". Lineage: Eukaryota; Metazoa; Chordata; Mammalia; Primates; Cercopithecidae. The record is from RNAcentral.